RNAcentral lists this ribosomal RNA (253 nucleotides) under uncultured bacterium. RNAcentral describes it as "partial 16S ribosomal RNA". It matches the Rfam family "Bacterial small subunit ribosomal RNA", at positions 524 to 776 of the family's 1533-position model. The record is from RNAcentral.
UACGUAGGGGGCCAGCGUUGUCCGAAGUUACUGGGCGUAAAGAGCGCGUAGGCGGGCCCUUAAGUGGGGGGUGAAAGGUUGGGGCUCAACCCCAACACUGCCUUUCAUACUGGGGGCCUUGAGUGCGGGAGAGGCGAGUGGAAUGGUCGGUGUAGCGGUGAAAUGCGUAGAUAUCUGGAGGAACACCGGUGGCGAAGGCGGCGUUCUGGACUGCAACUGACACUGAGGAACGAAAGCCAGGGGAGCAAACGGG